AUUCCUCAAAAACAGGCGCAAAACUGGGAGCAAAGUUCCUUCUGAAUAAAGCAGGAUAACCGGACACACAGUGUAUGAUGGGCCCCAUGGGGGAUGUGGCUGAGUUUCUGAUUCGCAGUGUGACCUGAUGAGACUCAGGGAGCUACAGCUGCCGAUAUAGCACCAACUCCAACCUGCUCGUCUGGUAAGAACCAAGCAACCUCAUGGACCUGGUGGUAGCAGGAAAAGGAGCCGCACCAAGACCGAGCAGAUUUGGGCUGGAGAUUGCAGAGAAACCAUCUGAUGUGGAAGAAAGGGGCCGAGCGCAUCACGGGCUUCCUGGGGCUGCAGCUCCCGGCGCAGUUCCUCAUUCCCCUCGCACUCAGACCUCAUGCUUCAUGGAGCUGGGCACCGGGGUGUAAGAGGCAGCGCUGAGGGGCCCCUCCCUACCCGUGUCAUGGCGCCUGCUCUCACCAUC
Mauremys reevesii (Reeves's turtle) is the source of this 457-nucleotide long non-coding RNA. RefSeq lists it as uncharacterized. The transcript is spliced from 3 exons. NCBI's taxonomy places the organism in Eukaryota, Metazoa, Chordata, Testudines, Geoemydidae. The record is from RefSeq and is a predicted model, not a curated record.